This 442-nucleotide ribosomal RNA is filed under the name uncultured bacterium. RNAcentral's name for it is "partial 16S ribosomal RNA". It matches the Rfam family "Bacterial small subunit ribosomal RNA", at positions 338 to 795 of the family's 1533-position model. The record is from RNAcentral.
CCUACGGGAGGCAGCAGUAGGGAAUCUUUCACAAUGGGCGAAAGCCUGAUGGAGCAACGCCGCGUGCAGGAUGAAGGCCUUCGGGUUGUAAACUGCUUUUAUAAGCGAGAAAUAUGAUGGUAACUUAUGAAUAAGGAUCGGCUAACUACGUGCCAGCAGCCGCGGUCAUACGUAGGAUCCGAUCAUUAUCCGGAGUGACUGGGUGUAAAGAGUUGCGUAGGUGGCAUAAUAAGUAGCUAGUGAAAUCUGGUGGCUCAACCAUUCAGACUAUUAGCUAAACUGUUAAGCUCGAGACCGUUAGGGGUAACUGGAAUUUCUAGUGUAGGAGUGAAAUCCGUAGAUAUUAGAAGGAACACCAAUAGCGUAGGCAGGUUGCUGGGACGGUUCUGACACUAAGGCACGAAAGCGUAGGGAGCAAACGGGAUUAGAUACCCGAGUAGUC